This 484-nucleotide ribosomal RNA is filed under the name uncultured bacterium. Its description in RNAcentral is "partial 16S ribosomal RNA". It matches the Rfam family "Bacterial small subunit ribosomal RNA", at positions 29 to 507 of the family's 1533-position model. The record is from RNAcentral.
AUUGAACGCUAGCGGGAUGCUUUACACAUGCAAGUCGAACGGCAGCGCGGACUUCGGUCUGGCGGCGAGUGGCGAACGGGUGAGUAAUGUAUCGGAACGUGCCCAGUAGCGGGGGAUAACUACGCGAAAGCGCAGCUAAUACCGCAUACGCCCUACGGGGGAAAGCAGGGGAUCGUAAGACCUUGCACUAUUGGAGCGGCCGAUAUCGGAUUAGCUAGUUGGUGAGGUAACGGCUCACCAAGGCGACGAUCCGUAGCUGGUUUGAGAGGACGACCAGCCACACUGGGACUGAGACACGGCCCAGACUCCUACGGGAGGCAGCAGUGGGGAAUUUUGGACAAAGGGGGCAACCCCGAUCCAGCCAUCCCGCGUGUGCGAUGAAGGCCUUCGGGUUGUAAAGCACUUUUGGCAGGAAAGAAACGUCGCGGGCUAAUACCCCGUGGAACUGACGGUACCUGCAGAAUAAGCACCGGCUAACUACGUG